UGAAGGAAUUCGGCAAAUAUAUUUUCUGCCUGUUUAAUAAAAACAUGGCUUUUUGAGAAUAAUUUAAGGUCUGGCCUGCCCAAUGAUUUAAUUAAAUGGCCGCGGUACUUUGACCGUGCAAAGGUAGCAUAAUCAUUAGUUUUUUAAUUGAAAGCUGGAAUGAACGGUCUUACAAGAAAAUUUCUGUCUCAAUUAUAUUUAUAGAAUUUUAUAUUUAAGUCAGAAAGCUUAAAUUUUUUUAAGGGACGAGAAGACCCUAUAGAAUUUGAUAAUUUUUUUUUAAUAAGAUUUUUAGGUUUUUAUUUUUUAUUAAAAAAUAAUUAUUUUGUUGGGGUGAUAGAAAAAUUUAAAUAACUUUUUUUAAGUUUAUUCACUAAUUUGUGAUUAAAUGAUCCAAUAUUUUUGAUUAAAAGAUUAAAUUACCUUAGGGAUAACAGCGUAAUUGGUUUGGAGAGUUCUUAUUGAUAAACUAGUUUGCGACCUCGAUGUUGGAUUAAAAUAAACUUUUGGUGUAGGGGCUAAAAAGUUAAGUCUGUUCGACUUUUAAAAUUUUACAUGAUCUGAGUUUAAACCGGCGUGAGCCAGGUUGGUUUCUAUCUUU
RNAcentral lists this ribosomal RNA (601 nucleotides) under Metallactulus parvulus. RNAcentral describes it as "partial 16S ribosomal RNA". It matches the Rfam family "Bacterial large subunit ribosomal RNA", at positions 1770 to 2645 of the family's 2925-position model. Lineage: Eukaryota; Metazoa; Arthropoda; Insecta; Coleoptera; Lucanidae. The record is from RNAcentral.